Molecule: ribosomal RNA, 301 nt
Filed under: uncultured bacterium
Lineage: Bacteria
Description: partial 16S ribosomal RNA
Rfam family: Bacterial small subunit ribosomal RNA
Source: RNAcentral
CAGUAGCCGCGGUAAUACGUAGGUGGCAAGCGUUGUCCGGAUUUAUUGGGCGUAAAGCGAGCGCAGGCGGUUCCUUAGGUCUGAUGUGAAAGCCCACGGCUCAACCGUGGAAGGUCAUUGGAAACUGGGGAACUUGAGUGCAGAAGAGGAGAGUGGAAUUCCAUGUGUAGCGGUGAAAUGCGUAGAUAUAUGGAGGAACACCAGUGGCGAAGGCGACUCUCUGGUCUGUAACUGACGCUGAGGCUCGAAAGCGUGGGGAGCAAACAGGAUUAGAUACCCCUGUAGUCCCUGUCUCUUAUAC